Non-coding RNA from Triticum aestivum (bread wheat), 130 nucleotides. Lineage: Eukaryota; Viridiplantae; Streptophyta; Magnoliopsida; Poales; Poaceae. The record is from Rfam.
UAUAUACUCCCUCCGUCCGAAAAAGCUUGUCCCAAGCUUAUCCCUCAAAUGGAUGUAUCUAGCACUAACUUGGUGCUAGAUACAUCCAUUUGAGGGACAAGCUUUUUUUCGGACGGAGGGAGAGUAUAUA